Molecule: ribosomal RNA, 489 nt
Filed under: uncultured Bradyrhizobiaceae bacterium
Lineage: Bacteria; Pseudomonadati; Pseudomonadota; Alphaproteobacteria; Hyphomicrobiales; Nitrobacteraceae
Description: bacterial SSU rRNA
Rfam family: Bacterial small subunit ribosomal RNA
Source: RNAcentral
AGGCCAACGAUCAGUAGCUGAUAUAAGAGGAUGAUCAGCCACAUUGGGAUUGAGACACGGCCCAAACUCCUACGGGAGGCAGCAGUGGGGAAUAUUGGACAAUGGGCGCAAGCCUGAUCCAGCCAUGCCGCGUGAGUGAUGAAGGCCCUAGGGUUGUAAAGCUCUUUUGUGCGGGAAGAUAAUGACGGUACCGCAAGAAUAAGCCCCGGCUAACUUCGUGCCAGCAGCCGCGGUAAUACGAAGGGGGCUAGCGUUGCUCGGAAUCACUGGGCGUAAAGGGUGCGUAGGCGGGUCUUUAAGUCAGGGGUGAAAUCCUGGAGCUCAACUCCAGAACUGCCUUUGAUACUGAAGAUCUUGAGUUCGGGAGAGGUGAGUGGAACUGCGAGUGUAGAGGUGAAAUUCGUAGAUAUUCGCAAGAACACCAGUGGCGAAGGCGGCUCACUGGCCCGAUACUGACGCUGAGGCACGAAAGCGUGGGGAGCAAACAGG